RNAcentral lists this ribosomal RNA (349 nucleotides) under uncultured bacterium. Its description in RNAcentral is "bacterial SSU rRNA". It matches the Rfam family "Bacterial small subunit ribosomal RNA", at positions 917 to 1269 of the family's 1533-position model. The record is from RNAcentral.
GGGCCCGCACAAGCGGUGGAGCAUGUGGUUUAAUUCGAUGAUACGCGAGGAACCUUACCAGGGUUUAAAUGCAGAACGACAGGGGUGGAAACACCCCCUUCUUCGGACGGACUGCAAGGUGCUGCAUGGUUGUCGUCAGCUCGUGCUGUGAAGUGUCGGGUUAAGUCCCAUAACGAGCGCAACCCCCAUUUCUAGUUGCCAGCGGUUCGGCCGGGGACUCUAGAGAAACUGCCAGCGUAAGCUGUGAGGAAGGUGGGGAUGACGUCAAAUCAUCACGGCCCUUACAUCCUGGGCCACACACGUGCUACAAUGGUGGGGACAGACGGCCGCAAACCCGCGAGGGGGAGCC